This 343-nucleotide ribosomal RNA is filed under the name uncultured prokaryote. RNAcentral's name for it is "bacterial SSU rRNA". It matches the Rfam family "Bacterial small subunit ribosomal RNA", at positions 8 to 352 of the family's 1533-position model. The record is from RNAcentral.
AGAGUUUGAUCCUGGCUCAGAUUGAACGCUGGCGGCAUGCUUUACACACGCAAGUCGAACGGCAGCACGGGGGCAACCCUGGUGGCGAGUGGCGAACGGGUGAGUAAUGCAUCGGAACGUAUCCUUGAGUGGGGGAUAACGCAGCGAAAGUUGUGCUAAUACCGCAUAUGCCCUACGGGGUAAAGCGGGGGAGUCGUAAGACCUCGCGCUGGUGGAUGAGCCUACGUCCGAUUAGUUAGUUGGUGGGGUAAAGGCCUACCAAGGCUACGAUCGGUAGCUGGUCUGAGAGGACGACCAGCCACACUGGGACUGAGACACGGCCCAGACUCCUACGGGAGGCGAC